UUCAACUGUAUUGUUUUUCUCUUUGAGUUGAUUAUACUAAUUACAAAAGCAUACUUUAUGGUACAAAUUAAAAAGCAUGCAUCAUCACUUUGCAAUAACUUUUUCUCAAGUUUCAUUACUCUAGUCACAUGCAUUUUCUAUAAAACCCUCUUCCUGUAUCUUCAACAACUUAUGAUCACCAUCUAUACCCUGAAUCAUGGCUAACAAUAAUAGCAAAGACGGGCCAUUAUAUCAAGAAGAAGGUCUUCUGUGUAAGGGAUCACCCACCGCUACUAUACGGUAUAGUAAGAAGAUUUGGUGAACAUGUUCUUCGGACGAGAAGAGAGAUCGAGAUUUUGACCAACUUGAAAGCGUCUGCAGGUGGUCAACGG
Capsella rubella is the source of this 371-nucleotide long non-coding RNA. RefSeq lists it as uncharacterized. The record is from RefSeq and is a predicted model, not a curated record. Lineage: Eukaryota; Viridiplantae; Streptophyta; Magnoliopsida; Brassicales; Brassicaceae. The transcript is spliced from 2 exons.